This is a long non-coding RNA of Pseudophryne corroboree (corroboree frog), 491 nucleotides long. RefSeq lists it as uncharacterized. The transcript is spliced from 2 exons. The record is from RefSeq and is a predicted model, not a curated record. NCBI's taxonomy places the organism in Eukaryota, Metazoa, Chordata, Amphibia, Anura, Myobatrachidae.
CAGCCAUCUUAGAGAAGAGCCAGUGUCUGGCAGUGAGGAGAAGUGAUGUGAUAUUUACCCGGUCCUGACUACUGUUCCCAGUGACUUAGGGGAGAGUUGCUGUGUGUCUUCUCGCAGCGAGCAGCAGCUUCUGUCAGGCGCUGAAUGGGGGCGGAGUAGCAACAGGGAUCCCUUUGCAGUGUGGCUGGAGGGCGGUGACAUGACUCCCCACCCACUAAUAAGAUGACAUGAGAGGCGGCCCGAAAAGAGGUGUCUGACUAGUGUAGGUUAAAGAGUGACUUGGAAAUUCAGCAUUACCUCUGGUGCGGGCCUCAAACCUGGGUGGUUUUUUGCGCAGGUGAGGGGUUUAAACUGGUACUGGUGCAACUUGUUGCCUCAGCGAGCCAGCUAACAAUUUGUGUCCUAAAUUACAUAAUGUUUUGGUUCAUGUCCCUAAGAACAUUGGUUUGAACUUGGAACGUUAAUAAAAAAAACUUUCCUGAAAACUAAAA